GAUGAACGCUGGCUACAGGCUUAACACAUGCAAGUCGAGGGGAAACGACGGGGAAGCUUGCUUCCCCGGGCGUCGACCGGCGCACGGGUGAGUAACGCGUAUCCAACCUGCCUCUGACUGAGGGAUAACCCGUCGAAAGUCGGCCUAAUACCUCAUGGUAUCGUCUGCGGGCAUCCAACGACGAUUAAAUAUUUCAUCGGUCAGGGAUGGGGAUGCGUCUGCUUAGCUUGUUGGCGGGGUAACGGCCCACCAAGGCUACGAUCAGUAGGGGUUCUGAGAGGAAGGUCCCCCACAUUGGAACUGAGACACGGUCCAAACUCCUACGGGAGGCAGCAGUGAGGAAUAUUGGUCAAUGGGGGAGAGCCUGAACCAGCCAAGUAGCGUGCAGGAAGACGGCCCUAUGGGUUGUAAACUGCUUUUAUGCGGGGAUAAAGUGAGGGACGUGUCCCUCAUUGCAGGUACCGAAUGAAUAAGGACCGGCUAAUUCCGUG
RNAcentral lists this ribosomal RNA (491 nucleotides) under uncultured bacterium. RNAcentral describes it as "partial 16S ribosomal RNA". It matches the Rfam family "Bacterial small subunit ribosomal RNA", at positions 28 to 507 of the family's 1533-position model. The record is from RNAcentral.